Long non-coding RNA from Vigna unguiculata (cowpea), 836 nucleotides. Lineage: Eukaryota; Viridiplantae; Streptophyta; Magnoliopsida; Fabales; Fabaceae. The record is from RefSeq and is a predicted model, not a curated record.
CUCAUCACAUUCCAAAAAAGCGCGUCAGACACAAAGAAAAGCAAAAUGAAAGUGGAAAGGUCCCAAACGUCCAUCUAACAAGCACGGCCUUGGCCUCGAAUAGAGUUUGAUUUUGAUUGCGUAACAAACACGGAUCAGGGUGAAGAAGAAGACGAAGGAACAAAGUAAAGUGACUCCGAAAGGAGCAGAAAACGACGACGUAGAUCGAGGAUGGUGCUGAACAGCAACGUGGUGGCGAGAGUGGCGCACACAUCAGCGCAUUUUUUCCAAUUCAUAGCUUGCAAUCCCGAGAGGCUUAGCAGCGACGUCGUUUUGCACCUCCUCUUCUGUCUCCCUUUCCAAUACCUCUUCCGUUCUCUCUUUUCCUACCUUGGCUAUCGUCAUCCACAUUCCGAUUGAGAAUAUCCUCUCUAUUCUAUGCAACUGUACUUCAGCUCUUUACCACUGUGUUCCCAUCUUGAGACACACAAAUCAGUUGGUUGGGUACUCAAUACUCAUGGGUGAGGCAGGGAAGGUAAAGGGUAAUAAGUUUGAAUUCUGAUGCUUAUACUUUUAUUAUUUCAUCAUUUUUUUAACACUGUGUUAUUAAGAAGUGAGAAUGUACAAAUGACAUGCAAUGGUUUUAUUAGAUUUUGUUUGUCCUUCUUGUUAGAGAACACUGUAGGUUUCUGAGAGGAGAAGGAGAAAAACUAGAUUGCAGGGCUUAUUGCCUCUUUUCUUUCUCACUAGAGAAUCCAAAUUCCACUGGAAAUAUUGUAUGACGAUUAUAAUGAAGUGAUAAUGAGCUACACUAAGCAAUUUAUAAAUGAAGAUUAUAAUGAAGUGAUAAUGAACUA